AUGGGAGUGGGGCCCAAGCGGCCAUCACGGCGCGCUGGCGGCACAGGGAUGGGGUGUCCUGCGUUCCCUGAGGAAGGUCCCCGGGAGGUACGGAGAGAGCCCAGGGACAAGGGGCCCCCCGAAGUCAAAGGCUUUUCCGGCUCCAGCGCCAUCCGCCCCCAUCGGGCCCAGUCUGCAAAAUCACCACCUCACUUGGCCGGCCUUCGGCCCUUCUACCCUCCCGUCUCCCACGAACGCACUAAAGAAACAGUCACAACCUGACCCAUCCCCAGCCAUACUCCAUGUACUCCCGGAACCCAGGGGCUCCGUCCUGCCACCGAUGACCCCAUCAGGAGGGAGUGCUUUCAGUUCCUAGCACCUGCAAUCCCACCCGAAGACAAAGCUUUUCACGGCAUAAUCUCUUUGUGCUCUUUUCUAGUAUGAGGUUUGAGUCAAUCGUUGAGAAAAGAAGUUACACAGACAAUAGUGAAAUUCUUUGAACUUUAUAAAUGAGAAAACAGUAAUUAACUUGGACAACAGCAUUAGUUUUUCAUUUCAAAAUUUUGACAAAUAUAAUUAAAAUGUAUAAGGCAGUAUCUAGAAAACAGAAGGAAUGAAGUAAAAAAACAGACUAAAGGAAGUUGGUAUAAACCAGAAGACCAAAGAAUUAAAAUAAUGAAAAUGUGUUUAUAGGUCAUAAAAUGCAAAUAAUAACUUUUAUUAAUAUAAAAGCAACUGAAUAUUUUUUCUGCCCCAAAAUGCAAAAGCCAUUAAAGUGGAGGGGGGGAGAGAAGGGGGAGGGGAGAGGAGGCAAUUCUUAGUUGUCUUCUUCACCAAGAAGAGGUAUAAGAUUUAGUUUUG
This is a long non-coding RNA of Antechinus flavipes (yellow-footed antechinus), 840 nucleotides long. RefSeq lists it as uncharacterized. NCBI's taxonomy places the organism in Eukaryota, Metazoa, Chordata, Mammalia, Dasyuromorphia, Dasyuridae. The record is from RefSeq and is a predicted model, not a curated record. The transcript has 2 exons.